UUUAAUCAUAAUCCUGUUCUUUCAAACAUCUCUGUCCAUGGUGAGUGAGCCUUUCUACACAGCAGCAUUAUACCUAAACUGAACUGUAGAGAUGCAAAAACCUUUAUUAUUUCCCAAAUAAUCCGAUUGAACUUGAUUCUUCUGUGGCAAAUAAACUAUCUGAAUGCUUUUCAGGUGAGGUCAAGCUCACCACUGUUACAUGGACGACUUUGGAACCAGAGAGCACAGAAGAGACUUUCUGGCCAAAUGUGUACCGUGUUGUUGGAAUCAUGGCGUUUGUCAUCACGGUGCUAACUGUAUGGGUUGCUUCAAGCUGUGGGUGUAAAGGAGAAUCCAGGGACACACCAGAUCUGAGCUGCCAGCCCUCCCAUGAUGCAUUGACUACCACCACUAUCUAUGAAAACGUUUAGUAGUCUCCAUAUCUGUGCCUUGAUAUUAAUCUGCUCAGUUAAAAUGACUCAUAUCAAAACAUUUCAUAGUAUUCAUUUCAAGAUUUUGUAACCUGCAACUUGUA
Perca fluviatilis (European perch) is the source of this 514-nucleotide long non-coding RNA. RefSeq lists it as uncharacterized. The record is from RefSeq and is a predicted model, not a curated record. Lineage: Eukaryota; Metazoa; Chordata; Actinopteri; Perciformes; Percidae. The transcript has 3 exons.